CUCACACCCAUCAACGCCCGGGUACUACGAGCCCCAGCUUAAAACCCAAAGGACUUGACGGUGUCCCAUCCACCUAGAGGAGCCUGUUCUAUAAUCGAUAAUCCCCGCUAAACCCAACCUCCUCUUGCAAUCAGCCUGUAUACCUCCGUCGUAAGCUUACCAUAUGAAUGACCCCAGUAAGCUAAAUGAUUAUAACACCCCAAUACGUCAGGUCAAGGUGCAGCUCAUGAGAAGGCAAGCAAUGGGCUACAAUUUCUAAUCUAGAACAAACGAAACACUGCAUGAAACUCAGCUGUGAAGGCGGAUUUAGUAGUAAAAAGAAAAUAGCGUGUUCUUUUUAACUAGGCCCUGGGACGUGUACACACCGCCCGUC
RNAcentral lists this ribosomal RNA (373 nucleotides) under Nanorana yunnanensis (Yunan spiny frog). RNAcentral describes it as "partial 12S ribosomal RNA". It matches the Rfam family "Bacterial small subunit ribosomal RNA", at positions 875 to 1398 of the family's 1533-position model. The record is from RNAcentral. Lineage: Eukaryota; Metazoa; Chordata; Amphibia; Anura; Dicroglossidae.